UGGGGAAUAUUGGACAAUGGGCGAAAGCCUGAUCCAGCCAUGCCGCGUGUGUGAAGAAGGUCUUCGGAUUGUAAAGCACUUUAAGUUGGGGGGAAGGGCAGUAAGUUAAUACCUUGCUGCUUUGACGUUACCGACAGAAUCAGCACCGGCUAACUCUGUGCCAGCAGCCGCGGUAAUACAGAGGGUGCAAGCGUUAAUCGGAAUUACUGGGCGUAAAGCGCGCGUAGGUGGUUUGUUAAGUUGGAUGUGAAAGCCCCGGGCUCAACCUGGGAACUGCAUCCAAAACUGGCAAGCUAGAGUACGGAAGAGGGUGGAGGAAUUUCCUGUGUAGCGGUGAAAUGCGUAGAUAUUGGGAGGAACACCGGUGGCGAAGGCGACCACCUGGACUGAUACUGACACUGAGGUGCGAAAGCGUGGGGAGCAAACA
RNAcentral lists this ribosomal RNA (427 nucleotides) under uncultured bacterium. RNAcentral describes it as "partial 16S ribosomal RNA". It matches the Rfam family "Bacterial small subunit ribosomal RNA", at positions 355 to 774 of the family's 1533-position model. The record is from RNAcentral.